This 166-nucleotide ribosomal RNA is filed under the name uncultured Wickerhamomyces. Its description in RNAcentral is "partial large subunit ribosomal RNA". Lineage: Eukaryota; Fungi; Ascomycota; Saccharomycetes; Phaffomycetales; Phaffomycetaceae. The record is from RNAcentral.
UUUGUUGAAAGGGAAGGGCAUUAGAUCAGACUUGGUGUUUUACGAUUAUCUUCUCUUCUUGAGUUGUGCACUCGUAUUUCACUGGGCCAGCAUCGAUUCGGAUGGCAAGAUAAUGGCAGUUGAAUGUGGCUUCACUUCGGUGGAGUGUUAUAGCUUCUGCUGAUAU